GCCCGGGUGGUGGAAUGGUAUACACGAAGGACUUAAAAUCCUUUGCCUUAUCGGCUUGUGGGUUCGAAUCCCACCUCGGGCACCA
This 85-nucleotide transfer RNA is filed under the name Parcubacteria group bacterium ADurb.Bin247. RNAcentral's name for it is "tRNA-Leu". It matches the Rfam family "tRNA". From Rfam's summary of the family: Transfer RNA (tRNA) molecules are approximately 80 nucleotides in length. Their secondary structure includes four short double-helical elements and three loops (D, anti-codon, and T loops). RNAcentral also lists the same sequence under 1 other name. The record is from RNAcentral.